CCUGUGUCUCCAGGGCUUUCACUAGAGGUGGCAACAUGAAAGAGAUGGUUUCCAAUGGAUUCAUCUCAGUGGUUUGCUGAACUCCCUCCAGCAACCUGCUCUGAAGUCACCUGAGCUGAAGCCAGCAGAGGACUCUUGACCUAUGUCCAAGGGCUGUUGAGCUCAGCUCAGGGAAUUGUCCAUCCUGACUGCCAGAGACCAUCCAGGAACAGGUCAUGUACUCCUCAAAAGAAGAAUUUUUUAAAGAAAACUCUGGCCCACCUUUAUCUCUAAUGGCCCAGCUGGGAGUUGCUAUAAUAAUCCUUUUGCUUUUAUGUGGCCAUCUGGAGGCCUAUUAAAAACAGUAUCUAAAACCAAC
Long non-coding RNA from Peromyscus leucopus (white-footed mouse), 358 nucleotides. RefSeq lists it as uncharacterized. NCBI's taxonomy places the organism in Eukaryota, Metazoa, Chordata, Mammalia, Rodentia, Cricetidae. The record is from RefSeq and is a predicted model, not a curated record. The transcript is spliced from 3 exons.